GAGGAACGUAAGCUUAAAGGCGCGACUUCCUGUCGCAACGCUUACAUGAUCCGCAUCCUGCGG
Molecule: small RNA, 63 nt
Filed under: uncultured Planococcus sp.
Lineage: Bacteria; Bacillati; Bacillota; Bacilli; Caryophanales; Caryophanaceae
Description: Bacillaceae-1 RNA
Rfam family: Bacillaceae-1 RNA
Source: RNAcentral